Molecule: ribosomal RNA, 243 nt
Filed under: uncultured bacterium
Lineage: Bacteria
Description: partial 16S ribosomal RNA
Rfam family: Bacterial small subunit ribosomal RNA
Source: RNAcentral
GCUAGCGUUGUUCGGAAUUACUGGGCGUAAAGCGUACGCAGGCGGCUUUGCAAGACAGGUGUGAAAUCCCCGGGCCUAACCUGGGAACUGCAUUUGUGACUGCAUGGCUAGAGUUUGUCAGAGGGGGGUGGAAUUCCACGUGUAGCAGUGAAAUGCGUAGAUAUGUGGAGGAACACCGAUGGCGAAGGCAGCCCCCUGGGAUGUGACUGAGGCUCAUGUACGAAAGCGUGGGGAGCAAGCAGG